Molecule: long non-coding RNA, 2265 nt
Organism: Pomacea canaliculata
Lineage: Eukaryota; Metazoa; Mollusca; Gastropoda; Architaenioglossa; Ampullariidae
Exons: 4
Source: RefSeq, a predicted model, not a curated record
AAAAUGCGAAAAACAAAUCUAUGCUCCUCAAGGCCAGCACAAAAGUGAGUUUGCAGACGUUUAUCGUGAAGACAUUAUUUGUUUUUGUCUCAUUCAGCGCUUUGUCGAUAUUCUUAAUGGACAGAUCAGGUCAAGGGAAAUGAAACAGCCACAGGUACGUGGACUUCACAAGGCUCGACGCUGGAGACUACUGAGGUCACAAACAUGAUGACAACACCAGGCACUGCUACGGAAACUACAACUUCAACUUCCGUUUUUCCGCAAGUAACUACCACAGCCACUACACAAAGCACAGCGCCAACCACUAGACAGUUGACGAUGAACUCAGUCACCACAUACGUCACACAAACGUCAACUUCAACCAAACAACGGUAGCUGGCACUUCAACAGUCGCAACUACCACCACCGCCGCCAGCACCACCAUCACCACCACCACCACCACCAAGAUGGAGUGCCCGGUCCUAGUUAUCGCCAACGGAAGUGUGACGUGGGCAGACCUGUCGCAGCGGCAAGGCAGCAUCGUGUGCAAUGACGACUACAUGCUGUCUACAGAUGAUGUCAGCGUGCUGUGUCUGUCUAACCUCACCUGGCACGUGGGGGGCGAGUGCAGGCUGAGGAUCGUGAGAACGUGACGCUGAAUGCCUACUACCCGAUACCCAGAGCAGUUGCCACAGGCUGGUCCACCUGCCUUAGAGGGACACUAUUUUAUGUGGGGACCGACUCACGGGUAUCUGUGAAACUGGCUGAAGAUAACACAUCAAUUAAUCUGCUGCUGAUGGAUUUCCGUUUCAAUUACUCGAGCAUCACCCGCCAGCUUGCUUAUAAUACAAAAAAUAACAACUCAUUGGACGCCACCAAGUUCAUCGGCUGGACACCUUUCCUUGCUGUAGGCCAGAACUUUACUUUGAAGCUGACAAUCAAGACUACUACAAACCUAGACAUUUUUGUAGACGGAACUUUCAGGACUGCCAUCACUUACGGCCGGAAUCUUCUGAACACUCUGUACGUCUCUGCUGCGCAGACAGUCACCAUGGACACAAUAGAUCUCUGGUGCUGACCAACGGAAGCACGAGGACAUCAAGAGUAUAAAAGCUGAGACAUCUGGACGGCAAUGCUUCACACAAGGAGCACAUUAGCUUAUGAGGUAUCGUAAAGCCACGCAGAAGCAUCGCACGUGAUGAGGCUUCACACAGCCAAAGACAAGUCACAUUAUGAGGCAUCCCAAUCACAUCAUCAGGUAUUACGCAGACAAAGAGAAGUAUCUAUCACACACCGUGAGGUAAUAUACAACCGACAAAGGCGUCGUAUGUGAUGUCAGCACACAGGUAGGUCAAGACAUUAUGUGCCACGAUGAAUCACACCACCGAAAUUUCUUGAAAAAUCAACUUUGUUGCCUUAUUUCUGGACAGAAGUGAGAGGAGUUUCUUUGGUCUAUAUUUAUUUCUUUAUUUUAUUUAAAUAUGUUCCUCAACUACAUGGAUAUAAGAGUGUUGUAGAAUCAGUUUGUCACAAACCAUGCUUAUUUUCGUUUAAUAUUUGUCAUGUAACACUUACAUAUCGUAUUAGAGUUGCUUUAGAAACUGCUAGAGACAAUCCACGCCUUGGACAAAUACGUUGAUUUCUUCCUUGUUUUCAUUUUAUUGUUCAGUAAAGAUGAUGUGUACGUCUUUUAAAAAUGGCUUUAUAAAGUAAAAAUGUGUCAUCGUUCAUUUGUUUUUCUGCUUUAAAUAGUGACAGCGAGAGGUAUAGUAGAUGAUGAUGAGGAGGAGGAGGAGGACGAGGAGGAGGAGAAUGGGUUUAAAUAGCACAUUUACUUGCCUGGCAAUGAGCUCAAUGGGCUUGAACACAAGAUCAACACGAAAAAGAAACACAGACGCGCAGAUUUCAAAGAAAGGUUGAGAGGGAGGGAAGUUUAGGAGCAUCAGCCACAGGUAUUCACGAAUGAGGUCAGUCUAGGGCAGGGGUGGGCAAUUAAUUUUCCCAAGGGGCCGCAUGAGAAAUUGGGAUGGUUUUAGAGGGCCGAACUAAUAUAGUUAACUCAGUUUUACCCAAUACUGUAUAUAUAGUACAUAUACUAGCGGGCGGGCCGGUCUAGGGGGACAGCGUUUACAGUCCUCACUGUGCUCAAAAGAAUCGCUAUUAUCGCUUUGUUUAGACAACGCACUCGGCUACGCACGUGUCCCCCUCGUUCACUGAGUGGACAACACUUUGAGAGUUUUCUCCAAAAUAACAAUGCACUCGAGGCUGACACGGUGUUCAAGUACU